AAGGAGGGGGAGGAAGAGACAGAAGGAUGGAAUGGUCCAGAAUGUCACUGCCUCCUGGUUCCAGGGUAGAGGAACACGCGUUUAGAAAGGAGGAGAGGGGGGGGGGGGGAUGAGACGGAAGGAUGAAGGGAUGAACAGGGUGAAAAGCCGUUCUAAACAGUCUUCCUGUUCUGGGGGAGGAGUUGUUGUUCUCCUUCCAGAACCAGCUAAGUUGCCAUGGAGACGUCAUGGUGCUCGGAACAGGAUGACGGCUGAGUUCCAUUCCGGAAUCUCACUCCCUUCAGUCCCUAGGGGGCGUCACUGAGGGGGCAGAGGGGAUUUAUGCGGCCCAAAUAGUGAUCAUCAUCUAGAUUCAGCCACAGGCAGAUUUUUUUAUUUUCUUGAGUGGCUGGUCAGGGGACCUGAAUAUAAUUACAUAUCAUUUUUGGAAUGCAAAUUGACUGCAACAAGCCCAAACAAAGAGAGAAUUUGACUAAAACAUAAUAAUUUCAAACCUUGCUUACAAUUGUAUACAAUCACAUGUCUAUAUAUUAUGCCUGGGAAUACUUAUGGAAUACCGAAAUGUAAAAUAAUUUGGAACUGAGAGACGGUGUUUUAAAAAAAAAAAUUACAAGCUUUUGUGUUUCAAAAUAAAAGCCCUACGGUCCCUGGUCACUAUAGGGGAUAGGCUGCUGUUUGGGACGUGAAACGAUGAGGUGAGAAUUUUCACCGUGGAGCGGGAGGCCUUCAUCUCCUCAACACAAUGACAUCAUUAUGACAUCAAUCAUAAUGACAUCAUAAAGACCCUUCACGCUCCAUCCCGUGAUGUCACCUAGUGAUGUCAAAGCAUUCUGUUCAAACAAACACGGUUGUAUAAAACCUGUUUGCUGCAGCUGUAUAUUUUUUGAUACAACGCUACGCCUACGGACAUAAAAGGAGAAGUAGUCUGUUUACCUGUAGACGUUAUUAGUGUUUUUUUCUGGGUGGGUAAUGUACAGGUACUAGUAGGUUUUAACACAUGUACAGGCUGGGGCAAGAGUCCCAAAUGGCACCCUAUUCCCUUUCUAGUGCACUACUUUUAACCAGAGCCCUUUGGCUAAUGGCACCCUAUUCCCUUUCUAGUGCACUACUUUUAACCAGAGCCCUUUGGCUAAUGGCACCCUAUUCCCUUUCUAGUGCACUACUUUUAACCAGAGCCUAUAGGGUAGGAGUCCACUCUGUGAAAUAGGGUGCCUUUUGGAAUGCUGCCAGUGUGUUUCUAAACCAUCAACGCUUGGGCUUGUCCCAAAUUACACCCCAUUUCCCCAGCUAGUGCACUACGUGGGGGGGAGAGGAGGGUUAGGGUGUGGUUUGGGACUCCUUGUGUUUUUAUAUGUAAAGGUGUAUAUUUUAAAGCUAGAUGGCUGAGUCCUGUGAGGGCUGUCAUUUUGUUUUCCACGCAGUCCAGACAUCUUCUCCAGGAGACGCUUCAUGUCUGUCCUGUUCAACUGCCUCUGGCUGUUUGUCCCAAUGGGCACCCUAUGUAGUGUGAUACGUUUGAACAGGGUUCAUAGAGUUCUGGUCAGAAGUAGUGCACUAUAUAGGGUAUAGUGUGCCCUUUGGGACAUAGCUUCUUACUUAUGUCCAGCCCUAACCUACACUCUAGGUUGAACCCUAACCCUCUACACUCUAGGUUGAACCCCCUACACUCUAGGUUGAACCCCCUACACUCUAGGUUGAACCCUAACCCCCUACACUCUAGGUUGAAACCCCCUACACUCUAGGUUGAAACCCCCUACACUCUAGGUUGAAACCCCCUACACUCUAGGUUGAACCCCCUACACUCUAGGUUGAACCCCCUACACUCUAGGUUGAACCCCCUACACUCUAGGUUGAACCCCCUACACUCUAGGUUGAUCCCUAACCCCCUACACUCUAGGUUGAACCCCCUACACUCUAGGUUGAACCCCCUACACUCUAGGUUGAACCCUAACCCCUACACUCUAGGUUGAACCCUAACCCCUACACUCUAGGUUGAAACCCCCUACACUCUAGAUUGAAACCCCCUACACUCUAGGUUGAACCCCCUACACUCUAGGUUGAAACCCCUACACUCUAGGUUGAAACCCCCUACACUCUAGGUUGAACCCCCCUACACUCUAGGUUGAACCCCCUACACCCUAGAUUUGGAGUGGGGGCUAGGGAUCGGUUUGGAAUUUGAAAACUGUCUGUCGAUCAUUAAUGUACUGCAACUCUCCCCAACUUCUCCCCUCAGACACCCAGGGCCUGUAUCUGUUUCAGAUCAAAGCUGCUCCAUGGCAGAGCACAGAUCUGGGAUCAGUUUACCCCUAACCCUGUGAUGUGACACCCUAUUCCCUAUAUAGUGCACUACUUUUCACCAGGUUUCAUAGGUCUGUGGUCAGAAGUAGAAGUAGUGUGUGAUAUAGGGAAUAAGGUGUCACUCUCCGGAGAGGAAGAGUGACACCAAGGUUCCUGGACUGUGUGUGUGUUCUAUGUACUAAGUUGUAUUUCUACAAUGAACUGAUCUACGGUGCGUGGAUCUAUGUAAAGCCAAAGAACAUUCGUAACCUGUCUGUGUCUGGACACUGUUUGUCUCUGUCUCUGUCUGUACAGUUAGUCCCGUUGUGAAAUAUCUUGUUUUAUUGUGUAUCUGUCUGUAUGGCAGAAAUUAACUUAGUUAUCCCAAUGUCCCUCAAUAGUCCAGUCUAUAAUGUGGAGUUAAAUGUAUUGGGUUUUAAAUCAACUUCUGGAGAAACAGUGCCUGACUUGUUCUCAGAUCUGGUCGAAGAGGGUAAAUACACAAUAGGAAUAUUUCAUCCCAAAAAAAUCCAAGAUGGUGACCCACUCUAAAUUCAAGAUGGUGACCCACUCUAAAUCCAAGAUGGUAACCCACUCUAAAUCCAAGAUGGUGACCCACUCUAAAUCCAAGAUGGUGACCCACUCUAAAUCCAAGAUGGUGACCCACUCUAAAUCCAAGAUGGUGACCCACUCUAAAUCCAAGAUGGUGACCCACUAUAAAUUCAAGAUGGUGACCCACUCUAAAUUCAAGAUGGUGACCCACUAUCUCCCCCCUCUGAAUUAUUAUUAUUUUUUACCUUUAUUUAACCAGGCAAGUCAGUUAAGAACACAUUCUUAUUUUCAAUGACGGCCUAGGAACAGUGGGUUAACUGCCUGUUCAGGGGCAGAACGACAGAUUUGUACCUUGUCAGCUCGGGGGUUUGAACUCGCAACCUUCCGGUUACUAGUCCAACGCUCUAACCACUAGGCUACGCUGCCACCCCGUUUUAGAUGAGAAAAUGUUGUUUAUCUGUCCAAUAAAUCGGCAAGCAUGUUCUCAUUUUAUAUAAAAUAUAUUUUACGAUUAUACGUUGGAUUAUACCUGAUUUUAGUUGUAAACUACAUUGCCCCUUCUGAAUGGUAUUUAAUGCUGUGUUAUUGGAAGUAUUGGGGGGGGUGUAUCCUGGGUGUGUGCCUUUUUAAUCCCAUCCUAACUUCAAUCACUGAUUGUCAUAACCUGUCAUUACAUGCAUUAGCCUCUAGAUGCUGUUGUUUUUUAAAUCACUGUCAUUUUUGUUUAUUAUUUUCAACCAACAAUUAUGCUGUGUCGGUCUGGACGAGCUCUUCACUAUGUAAAUAUGUACAUUGUCAUAUUUCCUAUGUUUUUAGUCGUCAACCCGCUGCCAGCCAGCCAGUCAGUCAGCCAGCCAGUCUCUGAGGUUUAUAAACUACAGACGACACAGAUUGCUGGAUUCACUUGUACAGUUCUUUUUAAAAAGGUACUUCGUCAAUAAAUACAUUGAAUAAAA
Molecule: long non-coding RNA, 3785 nt
Organism: Oncorhynchus nerka (sockeye salmon)
Lineage: Eukaryota; Metazoa; Chordata; Actinopteri; Salmoniformes; Salmonidae
Exons: 5
Source: RefSeq, a predicted model, not a curated record